UUUAGAUUCAAUUGCGAUAAAAAGUCUCCGGAACAUUGGAGGGGAACCACUCACAAGUUUCUCGGACAAUUUGUUUUUUUUUUUUUUAUUGAAGACAAUUUAAGAGAGUAUGAUGCUGAGGACUCAAAGGUACAGCGUAGGGUAGCCUGGGGUUAAGUGGGCACGGCGGGUUAACUGAACACUCGACCCAGCUGCCACCUGGUGGGCAUACUCAAAACCAACUACGCGUCAAUUUCAUCAGUUUAUAGACCCUUACUAGUGUACCUUGCGCCGAGUUGAUAAUCUUUGUUUUUUUUGAAGUUAUGUUUACAAACGUGUUUCGUGGGGCGAAAAGUAAAUUCCCGGUGCUGUGAACUGAAGCCCAAAUGACAUAUCUAGCUUUUGAGGAAGACUUUGUAUUUUAACAACUAAAAGGAGAAAAAGGACAACCAACCAUGGGACCUAUUCAGAAGUCAUUGAAAUAAGUUUUCCGUAUCUCUUAGUGAAAAUGUAUAUAAGUAUUAAGACAAACAAAAAAUCAUCCUCAGAUGUAUUUCUUUAAUUUUUAAGACUUUUCCACUUGUUCAUUUGACUUAAUAAAAGUUUCCUCUUUCAAAA
Bemisia tabaci is the source of this 597-nucleotide long non-coding RNA. RefSeq lists it as uncharacterized. The record is from RefSeq and is a predicted model, not a curated record. Lineage: Eukaryota; Metazoa; Arthropoda; Insecta; Hemiptera; Aleyrodidae.